GAUGAACGCUGGCGGCGUGCUUAACACAUGCAAGUCGAACGAUGAAGCCCAGCUUGCUGGGUGGAUUAGUGGCAAACGGGUGAGUAACACGUGAGUAACCUGCCCUUAACUCUGGGAUAAGCCUGGGAAACUGGGUCUAAUACCGGAUAGGAGCGUCCACCGCAUGGUGGGUGUUGGAAAGAUUUAUCGGUUUUGGAUGGACUCGCGGCCUAUCAGCUUGUUGGUGAGGUAAUGGCUCACCAAGGCGACGACGGGUAGCCGGCCUGAGAGGGUGACCGGCCACACUGGGACUGAGACACGGCCCAGACUCCUACGGGAGGCAGCAGUGGGGAAUAUUGCACAAUGGGCGCAAGCCUGAUGCAGCGACGCCGCGUGAGGGAUGACGGCCUUCGGGUUGUAAACCUCUUUCAGUAGGGAAGAAGCGAAAGUGACGGUACCUGCAGAAGAAGCACCGGCUAACUACGUG
RNAcentral lists this ribosomal RNA (466 nucleotides) under uncultured bacterium. RNAcentral's name for it is "partial 16S ribosomal RNA". It matches the Rfam family "Bacterial small subunit ribosomal RNA", at positions 28 to 507 of the family's 1533-position model. The record is from RNAcentral.